UGACGUCACCAGAAUCGUUCCUGUUAUUUCCAAACUGCCAGGAGCCAUCGCAGAAAGGCUAAUGAAACACACUUAGAUGUUAAGUAAAAAGUAAUUAAAGUAUGUUGAAGAACUGGGGCAAUUGGCUCUGAGUAGAAAACAAAAAUGGCCAAGAAAGAGAGUCAACUGUUGAGGUUGAGGAAGACGAGAAUGAGGUAAACAAACAACGGGAGGAAGAUGCUCAUCAGUCGGCGAAAGGCUUCAGCGACCAUUUUGGGGGAAUUCCAGAACAACAAGAGAAGUUUGUUCAGGAGAAAAAAGCAAAAAUGUCUGUCAGCGGCUGAAGGAGGCGAGAGGCCGGCAGGCGAAGGCGAGGCCGGUGUUCAUGUGAGGCCGAUUUCCUCCAGGACGCUGCGAGGACACUCGGC
Molecule: long non-coding RNA, 407 nt
Organism: Pungitius pungitius (ninespine stickleback)
Lineage: Eukaryota; Metazoa; Chordata; Actinopteri; Perciformes; Gasterosteidae
Exons: 3
Source: RefSeq, a predicted model, not a curated record